Molecule: ribosomal RNA, 549 nt
Filed under: uncultured bacterium
Lineage: Bacteria
Description: bacterial SSU rRNA
Rfam family: Bacterial small subunit ribosomal RNA
Source: RNAcentral
UGGGGAAUUUUGGACAAUGGGCGCAAGCCUGAUCCAGCCAUGCCGCGUGUCUGAAGAAGGCCUUCGGGUUGUAAAGGACUUUUGUCAGGGAAGAAAAGGAUAGGGUUAAUACCCCUGUCUGAUGACGGUACCUGAAGAAUAAGCACCGGCUAACUACGUGCCAGCAGCCGCGGUAAUACGUAGGGUGCAAGCGUUAAUCGGAAUUACUGGGCGUAAAGCGGGCGCAGACGGUUACUUAAGCAGGAUGUGAAAUCCCCGGGCUCAACCUGGGAACUGCGUUCUGAACUGGGUGACUAGAGUGUGUCAGAGGGAGGUAGAAUUCCACGUGUAGCAGUGAAAUGCGUAGAGAUGUGGAGGAAUACCGAUGGCGAAGGCAGCCUCCUGGGAUAACACUGACGUUCAUGCCCGAAAGCGUGGGUAGCAAACAGGAUUAGAUACCCUGGUAGUCCACGCCCUAAACGAUGUCGAUUAGCUGUUGGGCAGCUUGACUGCUUAGUAGCGAAGCUAACGCGUGAAAUCGACCGCCUGGGGAGUACGGUCGCAAGAUUA